RNAcentral lists this ribosomal RNA (506 nucleotides) under Boana calcarata. RNAcentral describes it as "partial large subunit ribosomal RNA". It matches the Rfam family "Bacterial large subunit ribosomal RNA", at positions 1834 to 2539 of the family's 2925-position model. Lineage: Eukaryota; Metazoa; Chordata; Amphibia; Anura; Hylidae. The record is from RNAcentral.
CUUGCUUAAAUAUAAGAGGUCCAGCCUGCCCAGUGACACAGUUCAACGGCCGCGGUAUCCUAACCGUGCGAAGGUAGCGUAAUCACUUGUUCUUUAAAUGGGGACUAGUAUGAAUGGCAUCACGAGGGUUGAACUGUCUCCUUUCUCUAAUCAGUGAAACUAAUCUCCCCGUGAAGAAGCGGGAAUUAUUUUAUAAGACGAGAAGACCCUAUGGAGCUUAAAACAAAUUGACAUCUGCUUCCACUUACUUCAAUUCCUGAACAAUUACACAAAAUACAGCAUCAUUGAUCAAUAGUUUUAGAUUGGGGUGAUCAUGGAGCAAAAAACAACCUCCACGACGAAAAGGAAUAUCCCCUGAGCCAAAAGCCACAACUUUAAGCACUAAAAAAUUAACGCACCUUGACCCAAUUUUUUGAGCAACGAACCAAGUUACCCUAGGGAUAACAGCGCAAUCCACUUCAAGAGCCCCUAUCGACAAGUGGGCUUACGACCUCGAUGUUGGAUCA